AGGAGAGCUGGUACGGGUCCUCGUAUGCUCAUAUGGUCUUCAGCAGUGAUCCAAAGGGCCUUUUUAACACAUGGAUAGCUGGUAGCUUUAUGUCUCUGAGAAGCCUUGACCAGUAGGUUUGAUUUGGUUAUGUGAUUUGUACUAGGUAUGGGAGGCGAAUUCAGGCUGGACUGAGCUCUGAGCAACUUAUCAAGCUGUAGGUGUCUCUGUUCAUUGUAGGAGAGCUGGACUAGGUGGCCUUUAAGGGGCCCAUCCCUCUCAAGCAAUUCUAUGAUCCUACAGACAUCGUCUGCAUGUGGCAUGGUUCAAAGGAGGACAUGGAUUAGGACUUCAGCAUUUCUCCUUCCUGGAAAAACACUGAAUUUGUCCAGUAGUUGCUGGGUCCUUGAGAAGAGUUGAAUUAAGUCUCAAAAUCACUGGAAGCCUCUUUGUUGACUGAAGAGGAAUGUUGGUGGGUCACCUGCAGGCAAGAAGACCUUGUUCCUCAGCAUUGCUUGGCAAGGACCAAGAGGCUCA
Molecule: long non-coding RNA, 516 nt
Filed under: Numida meleagris (helmeted guineafowl)
Lineage: Eukaryota; Metazoa; Chordata; Aves; Galliformes; Numididae
Description: lncRNA (ENSNMEG00000020041.1)
Source: RNAcentral